This 35-nucleotide transfer RNA is filed under the name Odorrana jingdongensis (odor frog). Its description in RNAcentral is "partial tRNA-Arg". Lineage: Eukaryota; Metazoa; Chordata; Amphibia; Anura; Ranidae. The record is from RNAcentral.
GGCUCCAGGGGGGCCUCGAGUGAGCUGAAUGGGGU